GGCUCAGGACGAACGCUGGCGGCGUGCUUAACACAUGCAAGUCGAACGGGGAUUACCGAGCGGAAGGCUUCGGCCGGAAGGUUGGUAAUUCGAGUGGCGGACGGGUGAGUAACGCGUGAGCAACCUGUCCCAGACAGGGGGAUAACACUUGGAAACAGGUGCUAAUACCGCAUAAGACCACGAAUGGACAUCCAUUUGGGGUAAAAGGAGCGAUCCGGUUUGGGGUGGGCUCGCGUCCGAUUAGAUAGUUGGUGAGGUAACGGCCCACCCAAGUCGACGAUCGGUAGCCGACCUGAGAGGGUGAUCGGCCACAUUGGAACUGAGAGACGGUCCAAACUCCUACGGGAGGCAGCAGUGGGGAAUAUUGGGCAAUGGGCGAAAGCCUGACCCAGCAACGCCGCGUGAGUGCAGAAGGCCUUCGGGUUGUAAAGCUCUGUUAUAGGGGACGAAGGAAGUGACGGUACCCUAUAAGGAAGCCCCGGCUAACUACGUGCCAGCAGCCGC
RNAcentral lists this ribosomal RNA (504 nucleotides) under uncultured bacterium. RNAcentral's name for it is "bacterial SSU rRNA". It matches the Rfam family "Bacterial small subunit ribosomal RNA", at positions 21 to 518 of the family's 1533-position model. The record is from RNAcentral.